UGGAAAAUAGGUUAAGUUUAAACUGGUACUUUGUGGUGGUAUCUGAUCCUUGUUUGGUUUUCUAU
Molecule: transfer RNA, 65 nt
Filed under: Sindiplozoon sp. DZ-2018
Lineage: Eukaryota; Metazoa; Platyhelminthes; Monogenea; Mazocraeidea; Diplozoidae
Description: tRNA-His
Source: RNAcentral